Molecule: transfer RNA, 74 nt
Filed under: archaeon
Lineage: Archaea
Description: tRNA-Phe
Rfam family: tRNA
About the family: Transfer RNA (tRNA) molecules are approximately 80 nucleotides in length. Their secondary structure includes four short double-helical elements and three loops (D, anti-codon, and T loops).
Source: RNAcentral
UCAGGUUUUACUUGGUUACGGAGAGCACUAGACUGAAGAUCUAGGUGUCCGGGGUUCAAAUCCCCGCACUCCCA